This 468-nucleotide ribosomal RNA is filed under the name uncultured bacterium. Its description in RNAcentral is "partial 16S ribosomal RNA". It matches the Rfam family "Bacterial small subunit ribosomal RNA", at positions 28 to 507 of the family's 1533-position model. The record is from RNAcentral.
GACGAACGCUGGCGGCGUGCUUAACACGUGCAAGUCGAACGGACAGGCCCUGCUUUUGUGGGGUGCUCGAGUGGCGAACGGGUGAGUAACACGUGAGUAACCUGCCCUUGACUUUGGGAUAACUUCAGGAAACUGGGGCUAAUACCGGAUAUGAGCUCCUGCUGCAUGGUGGGGGUUGGAAAGUUUCGGCGGUUGGGGAUGGACUCGCGGCUUAUCAGCUUGUUGGUGGGGUAGUGGCUUACCAAGGCUUUGACGGGUAGCCGGCCUGAGAGGGUGACCGGCCACAUGGGGACUGAGAUACGGCCCAGACUCCUACGGGAGGCAGCAGUGGGGAAUAUUGCACAAUGGGCGGAAGCCUGAUGCAGCAACGCCGCGUGCGGGAUGACGGCCUUCGGGUUGUAAACCGAUGUCGCCUGUGACGAAGCGUGAGUGACGGUAAUGGGUAAAGAAGCACCGGCUAACUACGUG